This 1234-nucleotide long non-coding RNA is filed under the name Homo sapiens (human). RNAcentral's name for it is "HSALNT0342046". The record is from RNAcentral. Lineage: Eukaryota; Metazoa; Chordata; Mammalia; Primates; Hominidae.
CUAAAUAUUCACUUAUAUGAUUUUUUUUUUUUUUGUAGAGAUGGAGUCUUGCUCUGUCACCCAGACUGGAGUUCAGUGGUGCGAUCUCUGCUCACUGCAACCUCCACCUCUCCUGUUCAAGCAAUUCUCCUGCCUCAGCCUCCUGAGUAGCUGGGACUACAAGCGCACACUGCCAUGCCUGGCUAAUUUCUUUUGUAUUUUAGUAGAGACAGGGCUUCACCAUGUUGCCCAGGCUGGUCUCAAACUCCUGAACUCAGGCAAUCUGCCCGCCUCAGCCUCCCAAAGUGCUAGGAUUACAGGUGUGAGCCACCAUGCCCAGCCUCACUUAUAUGUUUUAAAGUUUAUUUAAUUUUGAAUUUGAAUUUUUAACAUCUGGGAUUUAUUUGUUAUAUAAUGUAAGGUGACCAAGCAUCCUUGUACACGGAUUUGAAAUUACAUCUUUAUCACAUAAUAAAUUCUUAUGUAUGCAUUUGAAUUUAAAAUUUGUGCUAGUGAAGUGAUGAAAGCUGCAGUUCAAUCUCUAAGCUUUUGUUCCUUUUGUAUCUGUUUAGUUAAAUGUGGCAUUGAUUUAGGGUGAUACUUUUUCUUUUUUAACACUCCAUAAAGCACCAAAGAUACAUUUAAAUUUAUAUACAUACAUGUAACUAUUUUUCUUCUUUAGGUUUAUAUUUUCUUUUAAAGCAAUACAAGCUUUUUGUAGGAAAAAUGUAAGUAAAAUUGUAAGGAAGCAGAAAAAUUAUUUUGAUCUCUUUUAAUCAACAAUAACCACUGAUAACACUUUGGCAUAUUUAGUUUUACAACUUUUUUCACUUUUUCUUCUUUGUGGAGGAUACAAGAGAUGUAAAUAAAGGUCUUUAAAUGUUUUCAUAAUGAUGAUUGUUUUAUGCUUCCAGUAGAACAUUAACUUGAUUUGUAAUAAUGAAAUUUUUAAUCCUCCUAAUGGGAUUUGAAACAUAUUUCUUAAAGAACCUAAAUGUACAAACUCAUAUUCUGAAAACAAAAAAACAAAUGUUUUUUAAAAUUACUCAUUAAAAUGGAAAUUCUCUAUUUUCACCAGUGGGUGGCAAUCUCAACAUAUACACUGUUUGGUAUUUUCGACAGAACUGUUUAUUGCAAAGGGGAAAGCUACCUAAAAUGUCUGACAACUGUAACUCCAGCAGCUGUUGUUGCCCUUUAGUUGUUGCCCUUAAAAAAAGAAAAAGAGAAACCUGCAGGAAUAAUCACAAGUAAGAAC